Molecule: ribosomal RNA, 253 nt
Filed under: uncultured bacterium
Lineage: Bacteria
Description: partial 16S ribosomal RNA
Rfam family: Bacterial small subunit ribosomal RNA
Source: RNAcentral
UACGUAGGGUGCGAGCGUUAAUCGGAAUUACUGGGCGUAAAGCGUGCGCAGGCGGUCUUGUAAGACAGUUGUGAAAUCCCCGGGCUUAACCUGGGAACUGCAAUUGUGACUGCAAGGCUAGAGUGUGUCAGAGGGGGGUGGAAUUCCACGUGUAGCAGUGAAAUGCGUAGAGAUGUGGAGGAACACCGAUGGCGAAGGCAGCCCCCUGGGAUGACACUGACGCUCAUGCACGAAAGCGUGGGGAGCAAACAGG